CAAAAUAUUACUUGGAUCAUCGAUCUUACAAUUGCAUUUUGGAAUUUCGAUCAAUUUCGUUUACUUGCAAAUGAUCAUACUAAAUAUUACGACGAAAACCCGAAAUUCCAGAAUACAAUAUGCAUACCUAAAUAAGAUCAAUGGUUACGCGGUGUAUUAAAUGUAUAAAAUAUUCCAAGUAUAUUAAUAGUCAAUAUGAUGAAAUAAUCGACAAUAACAACAUAAUAUAAGUAUGUUCUUAAAGUGAAUAUUCGAAAAUGGUGAAAACAAAAUUUAACACGAUUUGAAAUUUUAUUCGGUAUCCACUUUGGAGGUUUGCGAAAAAGUUCCUUCGAAUCGUUUGAUACGUAUAAUAAUAAACUUACUUUACUUUGCUAUAAAUUAUAGGGUUUAAAACUCCCGUGCCGUUCGAGUCUGCUACACACACGGGAUGCGCAUUAUAAUAGACAUCUCGUGUUUGUUAGUAUGUUUUAGUCGAUCCCUGUCCAUCGCAUGACGUACAUACACGAUUCGUUCGUUACCGACGGGAUCCUGCUUGCAUUGUAAUAUCGGUAGUCUCGCGGGUUUUACACUUAGAUUCGGGGCCACGGAUUCCAAAAAAAAAAAAAAAAUAUACGAAUCGUAUGGUAUGAUAAAACGUGUAUCUUUUCGACUCGGGUCCUCGAAAAUCCCAAGGACGGGCCCGGUGACAAUAUCACGCCCGCAGUGAUUUUUGGGCGUGCGUUUUUUCGUACACAUAUUCGUAAAGAGCCGCGGACGCGGGAGGGGCAAAAUAUUCGUACUUUUGUCUCGGACGUGGCAACAGUGCAACACCGAUCGUCGUCAUUUUAAUUCAAUAUAGUAUUAUCGUUCUAUUACUUCGUGUAACAGUGUAUAUAAGCGAGUACCUACCCUCUAUAUUAUACGCAUUACUCUAUUAUAACGCCACGCAGCGGAGUAUACGGAUAUUAUUGCGUUCGCCCGAGUCUGGGUAAAUAAAUAUUGCGCCCGGGACUUGGCGCGCGAUAAGCGCAAGAGGUCAUAUUUCGCGUUUAAGUAUAAUAUAUACGCGACCGUUUUCGCAGACAAACGAGAUUUUUAUGUAAUACUCGAGGAAAAAAACACGAAAAAACGAAAAGAAAAAAAAAAAACACGGUAUGAAUAUUAUAUUAAUAUGCGAACGUGUUGGUGAUGUGGAGGGGGAGCGAAUUCGUUUUUUUUUUUUUUUUUUUUUUGGUCUCGCCCAAUCCGACAUAACUCGGUCGCCGAAACAUCCAUUAAAAAGAGUAGGUAGUUGCAGGUAUAAUACACACCCCUUAAUAAUAUUACACUGUUACGCGUCGUGUAAAUUUUACGCUCGAUUUCAAUACAAACCAAAAAAAAAGUCGUACAUAUUUUGUUGUUCGAAAAUCAUAAUAUAUUUCGGACAUUUUGAAUAUUAUACAGACAAUACGGUCGUAGUGGCUUAUCAGUCCGUCUAUAAAAUGCCAUUCGAUUCCGAGCGAGCUUAUACUAUCGUUUACCGUGUGCUUCGACAGAGUCGUACACGAUUUAUCGAUUUUAAGUCCGCGGUUUGGGCCAUUAAAGACCAAUUUAACUUUAAAUACAUUUUGGGAAAUCAAGAAUAAACCAUAUUUCGGCCUUUUUGAUAUUGCAAUAGAGAUUUUUCUAACAACAUUGGUCUUCUAAAAUCUCACAAUAAUACUUGUUUAAAUGCCCCCAUUUAGCACUAGAAAUAGCAACAAAUUUCACUUGAUUGGCCAUAUAACACAUUUUCACCAAAAAGUGGCAUUGGCCCCUUUCGAUCCAUACUCCAGGAGUACAUUGUAACGUUUUAUUUGAUAAAUAUAAUUUUAUGCGAAAAUAAUUUAUUGACAUUUAUACUUAAUUUACAUUAAGAUAUUUAUAUUUAACAUGUAUUUAUCGUAAAUUAUUGUAAAAUACUAAUAAUGUAUUAUUUAAGAACAUUGUAUUUAUAUAAUAUGUAUUCGUCGAAUUAAAACGAAUGUUGUAAAUAAUAUUUAUUAAAAUAUCUACUUUGAGUAUAUUUAUUUCUAUUGCAU
RNAcentral lists this long non-coding RNA (2042 nucleotides) under Cinara cedri. Lineage: Eukaryota; Metazoa; Arthropoda; Insecta; Hemiptera; Aphididae. The record is from RNAcentral.